Nematostella vectensis (starlet sea anemone) is the source of this 737-nucleotide long non-coding RNA. RefSeq lists it as uncharacterized. Lineage: Eukaryota; Metazoa; Cnidaria; Anthozoa; Actiniaria; Edwardsiidae. The transcript has 2 exons. The record is from RefSeq and is a predicted model, not a curated record.
UUAGGAAUUUCAUGUCUUUUUUUGUUUACGAAUUGGUCAGAAAUCAAGGUUAAUACUUUGGAAUGGAGUCUUCUAUUCGCUUAUGUUGCGACCUUAUCGUGGUUCUACUAUCAGAAAGCCAUGAGUGAAGACGCAGCUACAGUACUGAGUACAUCCAAGCUUAGUCCUACAGAAAAGAUAGCCAUACCUGUCUUGACACAGUAAUUUCAUCAAAGGUCUCAUACCCCAAGGGACUCUGUUUCUUAUCACUGUUGUCAAAGGUGAUAGUCACCGUUGCUUUAGUUACACCAGCCUGGCCGCCUUUGUAAACCAACUCUUGAAGACUACUGGCUCGCACCUGGAGUUUAAGACCAAGAGAACCCUCAUGUAAGAGUAAUUGUAAGACACUUGGCCUUAUAAUCUGUACAAAACUAGUGUUCAAGAAGGCACAAGUGUAGACAUUAACACAAAGACAACUGCAGUUUGUGUCCGACUGUUUUCAACGGUUGAACGUUUUUAUUUCUGUCGAAGCACUGCACAUCACUGCACUCGAAGCUCUUCUUAGUAUUGUUUGGUAAAGGUGAUACAAUAAAUCACACACAUAAGAUAAUUCACAUCACCGAUUUUCCAAGAGUAAGUUAAGUAGAUUGUUGUGAAACACAUCCGUAAUGAGGGGAAGUGAUGAUCACACCUAACUACCAAAUUUAAGUACACAAAGUGGUGUGGUCUAUGAUUUCAUUAAUAGAAAGUCAUUUUCU